Aedes aegypti (yellow fever mosquito) is the source of this 1117-nucleotide long non-coding RNA. RefSeq lists it as uncharacterized. NCBI's taxonomy places the organism in Eukaryota, Metazoa, Arthropoda, Insecta, Diptera, Culicidae. The record is from RefSeq and is a predicted model, not a curated record. The transcript has 6 exons.
UCUUCAACUACAGCAUCAUCUACGUACACUGUCCACACGAAGGGAGGCCUGAUGACGAGAAGGAGAACAGCCUGCACCACGGAGAAAAAUGGCUCUAGUUUGAAACAACCAUUUCUUUGGUUGAAAUCCAACCUAAUAUUUUGGUUGUUUUCAACAGAAAUUUUGUUAAUGCGAGACCAAUUUUUUUUAUUGAAACGAACCGUAUUCGCAGUUAGUAUCAAGCUAAGAAGUAAUGUUGUUUUCAAUUAUAUUUUGUUUGUUUUGAACUUCAAUGCUAUAUAAAAUGUUUGCUUUGCUCUUAACAAAAUGAGGAUUAUUAUUUUUCGCAACCACCAAACUUGUUGCCGCACCCACUGUGCGAAACGAUAACUCUAGUUCGAUCAGUGAACCAACUGGUCAAUCCCUCGCGCACUGGUCAAGCCGGUAGGCAUGCGAAUACUAAUACAAGAACAUAAGGCUCGCCGUCAAGCUUCGGCUAGAUUAUUGAAGCACAAUAGUUCAUUAUAUUCAAAAGCGUAAACAACUCUGUAAUUUAGAUAGACCACGGCCAUCAGAUAGUAUUGUUCAACCUUGAGGAUUAAAGCGGCAGUGCAGAUCGACGUAUUAGGGGUGCACAAACUGAAUUGAGAACGAUUGUCCACUUAAGAAGCUCUAGGGAGUGAAUUUACCUCAAACACAGAAAUCUAUGAAGUUGCUCAUUAAGGCAGCUAUCUGGAUUGUGUUUCCCUCACACGCUUCUCCAACAAAACUAAAAUACUAGUUUGAUUGCUUAGUCGACGAUGUUCGGUACAUCUUAAAACUGCUUCUGGCGAUAAGAAAACCUGCAGGAUCAGAACUAACGGGAAUGAAAAAGAUCCACAACAAGCAAAAUCUGAACCGGUCAGAUUUCUACUAAUGGACUAAGGAAAAAAUGGUGUCUCCUCAGCGCAACCAAGCAUACAAUCCGUGAGGGCGAAUCGAGAAGGGAGGAAAAAUCAGUGCCAUGUUAUUUACUUCAUUUUCGAUAAAGCUGUAAGUGAUUUUUGUUGUUUCAAUAGAAAAUAAAAUAAAUUGUUCAUAAUGCAGUGGUCAUGCGUUUCAUUAUCAUUAGAAUGAAUAAUAUAUAAUUCAAAUAAUA